GAUGAACGCUGGCGGCGUGCCUAAUACAUGCAAGCCGAGCGAACAGACGAGGAGCUUGCUCCUCUGACGUUAGCGGCGGACGGGUGAGUAACACGUGGAUAACCUACCUAUAAGACUGGGAUAACUUCGGGAAACCGGAGCUAAUACCGGAUAAUAUAUUGAACCGCAUGGUUCAAUAGUGAAAGACGGUUUUGCUGUCACUUAUAGAUGGAUCCGCGCCGCAUUAGCUAGUUGGUAAGGUAACGGCUUACCAAGGCAACGAUGCGUAGCCGACCUGAGAGGGUGAUCGGCCACACUGGAACUGAGACACGGUCCAGACUCCUACGGGAGGCAGCAGUAGGGAAUCUUCCGCAAUGGGCGAAAGCUUGACGGAGCAACGCCGCGUGAGUGAUGAAGGUCUUCGGAUCGUAAAACUCUGUUAUUAGGGAAGAACAAAUGUGUAAGUAACUAUGCACGUCUUGACGGUACCUAAUCAGAAAACCACGGCUAACUACGU
RNAcentral lists this ribosomal RNA (496 nucleotides) under uncultured bacterium. Its description in RNAcentral is "partial 16S ribosomal RNA". It matches the Rfam family "Bacterial small subunit ribosomal RNA", at positions 28 to 506 of the family's 1533-position model. The record is from RNAcentral.